Molecule: ribosomal RNA, 795 nt
Filed under: uncultured bacterium
Lineage: Bacteria
Description: bacterial SSU rRNA
Rfam family: Bacterial small subunit ribosomal RNA
Source: RNAcentral
AGUGGCGCACGGGUGAGUAACGCGUGGGUAAUCUACCCUCAUGUCGGGAAUAACACUUCGAAAGGAGUGCUAAUACCGGAUAAGACCACGAGAGCUUCGGCUCUUGAGGUAAAAGGUGGCCUCUACUAGUAAGCUACUGCUUGAGGAUGAGCCCGCGUCCUAUUAGCUAGUUGGUAAGGUAACGGCUUACCAAGGCUACGAUAGGUAGCUGGUCUGAGAGGAUGAUCAGCCACACUGGAACUGGAACACGGUCCAGACUCCUACGGGAGGCAGCAGUGAGGAAUUUUGCGCAAUGGGGGCAACCCUGACGCAGCAACGCCGCGUGAGUGAAGAAGGCCUUCGGGUCGUAAAGCUCUGUCUAGUGGGAAGAACCUCUUUCCGGCCAAUACCCGGGAAGACUGACGGCACCACUGAAGGAAGCACCGGCUAACUCCGUGCCAGCAGCCGCGGUAAUACGGAGGGUGCGAGCGUUAUUCGGAAUCAUUGGGCGUAAAGCGCGUGUAGGCGGCUUAGUAAGUUAGAUGUGAAAGCUCAGGGCUUAACCCUGAAAGUGCAUUUAAAACUGCUAGGCUUGAGUCCCCGAGGAGGGAGGUGGAAUUCCCAGUGUAGAGGUGAAAUUCGUAGAUAUUGGGAGGAACACCGGUGGCGAAGGCGACCUCCUGGACGGUGACUGACGCUGAGACGCGAAAGCGUGGGUAGCAAACAGGAUUAGAUACCCUGGUAGUCCACGCCGUAAACGAUGGGUACUAGGUGUAGGGGGUAUUGACCCCCCCUGUGCCGAAGCUAACGCAUUAA